CGGAUUGAAGGCUGAAAUUCGCCUUCAUGAAGCCGGAAUUGCUAGUAAUGGCAGGUCAGCAUGCCGCGGUGAAUACGUUCCCGGGCCUUGUACACACCGCCCGUCACACCAUGGGAGCCGGUAAUACCCGAAGUCAGUAGUCCAACCUCGUGAGGACGCUGCCGAAGGUAGGAUUGGCGACUGGGGUGAAGUCGUAACAAGGUAGC
RNAcentral lists this ribosomal RNA (206 nucleotides) under uncultured bacterium. RNAcentral describes it as "partial 16S ribosomal RNA". It matches the Rfam family "Bacterial small subunit ribosomal RNA", at positions 1294 to 1500 of the family's 1533-position model. The record is from RNAcentral.